GGACUACUCGGGUUUCUAAUCCUGUUUGCUACCCACGCUUUCGAAUCUCAGUGUCAAUAUUAUGCCAGGAAGCUGCCUUCGCCAUCGGUAUUCCUCCAGAUCUCUACGCAUUUCACCGCUACACCUGGAAUUCUACUUCCCUCUCACAUAUUCUAGCACCACCAGUAUCACAUGCAGUUCCCAGGUUAAGCCCGGGGAUUUCACAUGUGACUUAAUGAGCCACCUACACUCGCUUUACGCCCAGUAAUUCCGAUUAACGCUCGCACCCUCUGUAUUACCGCGGCUGCUGGCAC
This 293-nucleotide unclassified non-coding RNA is filed under the name uncultured fungus. RNAcentral's name for it is "sequence contains ITS1". Lineage: Eukaryota; Fungi. The record is from RNAcentral.